UUGGAGGGCAAGUCUGGUGCCAGCAGCCGCGGUAAUUCCAGCUCCAAUAGCGUAUAUUAAAGUUGUUGCAGUUAAAAAGCUCGUAGUUGAAUUUCGGGAUCAAUUUAUCGGUCGUGCCUACGGUAUGAACUGGUACAAUUGGUUUCUCCCUUCUGACGAAGCAUGAUGUCAUUAAUUUGGUGUCGUGGGGAAUCAGGACUGUUACUUUGAAAAAAUUAGAGUGUUUAAAGCAAGCAUUAGCUUGAAUACAUUAGCAUGGAAUAAUGAAAUAGGACGUUUGAUCCUAUUUCGUUGGUUUCUAGGAUCGACGUAAUGAUUAAUAGGGAUAGUUGGGGGCAUUAGUAUUCAAUUGUCAGAGGUGAAAUUCUUGGAUUUAUUGAAGACUAACUACUGCGAAAGCAUUUGCCAAGGAUGAUUUCAUUAAUCAAGAACGAAAGUUAGGGGAUCGAAGACGAUCAGAUACCGUCGUAGUCUUAACCAUAAACUAUGCCGACUAGGGAUCGGAUGAUGUUAAUUUUUUAAUGACUCAUUCGGCGCCUUACGGGAAAC
This 549-nucleotide ribosomal RNA is filed under the name uncultured Glomeromycotina. Its description in RNAcentral is "SSU rRNA". It matches the Rfam family "Eukaryotic small subunit ribosomal RNA", at positions 548 to 1098 of the family's 1831-position model. The record is from RNAcentral. Lineage: Eukaryota; Fungi; Glomeromycota.